GACGAACGCUGGCGGCGUGCCUAAUACAUGCCAGUUGAGCGCUGAAGGUUGGUACUUGUACCAACUGGAUGAGCAGCGAACGGGUGAGUAACGCGUGGGGAAUCUGCCUUUGAGCGGGGGACAACAUUUGGAAACGAAUGCUAAUACCGCAUAAAAACUUUAAACACAAGUUUUAAGUUUGAAAGAUGCAAUUGCAUCACUCAAAGAUGAUCCCGCGUUGUAUUAGCUAGUUGGUGAGGUAAAGGCUCACCAAGGCGAUGAUACAUAGCCGACCUGAGAGGGUGAUCGGCCGCAUUGGGACUGAGACACGGCCCAAACUCCUACGGGAGGCAGCAGUAGGGAAUCUUCGGCAAUGGACGAAAGUCUGACCGAGCAACGCCGCGUGAGUGAAGAAGGUUUUCGGAUCGUAAAACUCUGUUGGUAGAGAAGAACGUUGGUGAGAGUGGAAAGCUCAUCAAGUGACGGUAACUACCCAGAAAGGGACGGCUAACUACGUG
This 497-nucleotide ribosomal RNA is filed under the name uncultured bacterium. RNAcentral's name for it is "partial 16S ribosomal RNA". It matches the Rfam family "Bacterial small subunit ribosomal RNA", at positions 28 to 507 of the family's 1533-position model. The record is from RNAcentral.